This 606-nucleotide long non-coding RNA is filed under the name Nicotiana benthamiana. RNAcentral describes it as "long non-coding RNA (NBEN_LNC016407)". The record is from RNAcentral. Lineage: Eukaryota; Viridiplantae; Streptophyta; Magnoliopsida; Solanales; Solanaceae.
UCCAUUAUCAAUCAUCACCACUCACUAUCCCCACCAUUUCGACCACCAUCAUUCUCACCCACAAUCAACACUCAUCCACCUCAACUACCAUAACUGACCACCUCAUCAACAUCAAUAACCACAUCCGACACUGCUCAUUAUUAUAACCUACCACCAUCCACCCACCACCUUUCUAAGUCACAACUACUAUCAUCGCCCGCCGUUAUUAACUAUCACCAUCCACCACCAUCAUCCUCAAUCAUAAUCGCCACCACUACCAAUCACUACUAGCUACCAGCAUGAACCACCAUCGUCAACCAAAACUACCAUCAACCAUCGCCUCUAGUCGGCAUUCACCCGUUAGCCAUCACCACCAACAACUAUCAUAUUUUAAAAACUAUAUAUUUUAUUGAUAGAAUAUUAGAUUAGUUAGUAUUUCAUUUGAAUUUUAUGUUUAUUAUUUUUCAGGCAUUCACCCGUUAGCCAUCACCACCAACAACUAUCAUAUUUUAAAAACUAUAUAUUUAAUUGAUAGAAUAUUAAAUUAGUUAGCAUUUCAUUUGAAUUUUAUGUUUUAUGAUUUUCAAAUAAAGAUAAAUUUUAUACAUUCAUAUAUUAAAAAUCAAA